CUCUCUCUCUCUCUGUGUGUGUGUGUAUGUGUGUGUGUCCGUGUGCGUGCAUAUGUGUGUGUAUGUGCAUAUAUGUGUGUUUUAGAAAUACCCAAAUUUGCCAUGCGGUUUCUCAUCGUCCUCUAUGCCGUGUUUGUCCUCAGCUUGGCAACAGGUGUGGUUAAUGGAGCUCCUCGCUUAGCAGGGCUGUCUAAAAUGACAGACACCGUGACUGAUGACCUGACCAAAAGUGAAGACGCUACCUCUGACUCUUCAGUGGGGAAGCAGGAGGAAGAAAUGGACGACGCCCUUGGUUUUGACGACGAGGCAGCUGAGAUGGAAGAAGCUCCUGCAGACACUCCAGAGCCUGCUGAGUUUGAAGAGGAAGUGACUGAUGCUCCUGCUGAGGAUGAACUUGAUGAAACUGCAGAGGAAACUGACUUUGACACAGCUGAGUCUCGCGAUGGCGCUGCAGAGACCGUCACUCUGGAGGAGACUUAUGCUGACAUUGCAGUGACAGAGUUUGAAGAGGAGCCGGCUAAUGUGUCUGCUGAGGAGCCAACUGAAGAAGCAUGGAACUAAGGAGAUCAUGGAAUUAUUCUGCAAAUUCACCUGUGCUUAUAGCAAGGCUAAAUGUUACCAUACAUGUACAAAAUGUAUUCAUACAUGUACAUGUAUUCAUUUUGGGCCAUUAUGUGUGCGCUAUAUCUUAACUGUAGAAAAAGCCAAACUUCUAUUGUGUUAAGGGUACUUAACUAGGUAAAAGGGGAACUAUUUUGAGUAAAUAUUAAAUAUACUAAUAUACUAUGAAUAUGGAUUUUCAAUAACACUCUGUAUAUUUAAAGUAGAGUUUUGAGAACAUGUAACACUACAAAAGGGGAACUUUUUAAGGACACU
This is a long non-coding RNA of Clupea harengus (Atlantic herring), 876 nucleotides long. The record is from Ensembl. NCBI's taxonomy places the organism in Eukaryota, Metazoa, Chordata, Actinopteri, Clupeiformes, Clupeidae.